AUGUUAGAUAAACUUUGGGAUGAUAUUGUUGCUGGCCCUCAACCAGAACGUGGCCUUGACAAGCUUAGAAAACUCACCACCAACGUCAAAGAUGAAGGAGGAAGUAGUCAAUUAAUGAGGAGCACGUCGAUUCCGACAACACCGACGACACCGGUGACACCGACAACACCUUCAUCGGCGCGUAAAGUUGACAACGUUUGGAGGAGCGUGUUCAAUCCCGGGAGUAAUUCUGCUACUAAGACAAUUGGUGCUCAUGUUUUUGACAAACCACUUCCCAACACCCCCACUGUCUAUGAUUGGAUGUACAGUGGGGAUACAAGGAGCAAGCACCGUUGA
Molecule: non-coding RNA, 336 nt
Organism: Vicia faba (fava bean)
Lineage: Eukaryota; Viridiplantae; Streptophyta; Magnoliopsida; Fabales; Fabaceae
Source: the annotation of a GenBank genome assembly